GGAGUGGGGCGGGUGAUCGCUGUUCAUUUUUUGAAUGGAGGAAAGUCCGGGCUCCAUCGGACACGAUGACGGAUAACAUCCGCCAACCGUAAGGUUCGGGAAAGUGCCACAGAAAAUAUACCGCCCAGCUCGCUGGGUAAGGGUGAAAAGGCGAGGUAAAAGCUCACCACGAUUCGGGUAACCAAAUCGGUAAGGCAAACCCCAUCAGGUGCAAGGUCAAAUAAAGACUCAGGGUGUCCGACCCGAUAAAGUCUGGGCAGACCGCUUGAGAAUAUCAGGUAACCGAUAUUCCAGAUAAAUGAUCACCAGUUUGAUCAAUUUUAUUGACCAAAUUACAGAACCCGGCUUAUAGCCCCGCUCCCUUU
RNAcentral lists this RNase P RNA (365 nucleotides) under Planctomycetaceae bacterium. Its description in RNAcentral is "RNase P RNA component class A". It matches the Rfam family "Bacterial RNase P class A". Rfam says of the family: Ribonuclease P (RNase P) is a ubiquitous endoribonuclease, found in archaea, bacteria and eukarya as well as chloroplasts and mitochondria. Its best characterised activity is the generation of mature 5'-ends of tRNAs by cleaving the 5'-leader elements of precursor-tRNAs. Cellular RNase Ps are ribonucleoproteins. Lineage: Bacteria; Pseudomonadati; Planctomycetota; Planctomycetia; Planctomycetales; Planctomycetaceae. The record is from RNAcentral.